Molecule: ribosomal RNA, 375 nt
Filed under: uncultured bacterium
Lineage: Bacteria
Description: bacterial SSU rRNA
Rfam family: Bacterial small subunit ribosomal RNA
Source: RNAcentral
UCUUGCGCAAUGGGCGAAAGCCUGACGCAGCCAUGCCGCGUGAAUGAUGAAGGUCUUAGGAUUGUAAAAUUCUUUCACCGGGGACGAUAAUGACGGUACCCGGAGAAGAAGCCCCGGCUAACUUCGUGCCAGCAGCCGCGGUAAUACGAAGGGGGCUAGCGUUGCUCGGAAUUACUGGGCGUAAAGGGCGCGUAGGCGGAUCGUUAAGUCAGAGGUGAAAUCCCAGGGCUCAACCCUGGAACUGCCUUUGAUACUGGCGAUCUUGAGUAUGAGAGAGGUAUGUGGAACUCCGAGUGUAGAGGUGAAAUUCGUAGAUAUUCGGAAGAACACCAGUGGCGAAGGCGACAUACUGCUCAUUACUGACGCGAGGCGGAA